GAGUUUGAUCAUGGCUCAGGACGAACGCUGGCGGCGCGCCUAACACAUGCAAGUCGAACGGAGCUGUUUUCUCUGAAGUUUUCGGAUGGAAGAGAGUUCAGCUUAGUGGCGAACGGGUGAGUAACACGUGAGCAACCUGCCUUUCAGUGGGGGACAACAUUUGGAAACGAAUGCUAAUACCGCAUAAGACCACAGUGUCGCAUGGCACAGGGGUCAAAGGAUUUAUCCGCUGAAAGAUGGGCUCGCGUCCGAUUAGCUAGAUGGUGAGGUAACGGCCCACCAUGGCGACGAUCGGUAGCCGGACUGAGAGGUUGAACGGCCACAUUGGGACUGAGACACGGCCCAGACUCCUACGGGAGGCAGCAGUGGGGAAUAUUGCACAAUGGGGGAAACCCUGAUGCAGCGACGCCGCGUGGAGGAAGAAGGUCUUCGGAUUGUAAACUCCUGUCCCAGGGGACGAUAAUGACG
RNAcentral lists this ribosomal RNA (468 nucleotides) under Clostridiales bacterium canine oral taxon 085. Its description in RNAcentral is "bacterial SSU rRNA". It matches the Rfam family "Bacterial small subunit ribosomal RNA", at positions 9 to 456 of the family's 1533-position model. Lineage: Bacteria; Bacillati; Bacillota; Clostridia; Eubacteriales. The record is from RNAcentral.